This 214-nucleotide long non-coding RNA is filed under the name Lathyrus oleraceus (garden pea). RNAcentral's name for it is "Pisum sativum (pea) long non-coding RNA (PSAT_LNC017573)". The record is from RNAcentral. Lineage: Eukaryota; Viridiplantae; Streptophyta; Magnoliopsida; Fabales; Fabaceae.
UUUGCUUGACCAUGUCAGUAUCUUGGGCGUUGGCAUGUCCUAAUAUUGAGAAGAACUCCCACUUUGCCCAUAUACUUCCACACACCAUUACCAAAGUAAUUAUGGAGAUAAUAACCUCUUUCUUUUUCGUUGGACUUGUUAAAACUAGAUACAACCACACUCACUUUUCAAACCUCUGAAAUCUAAAGAAAUCUUCAAAGAAAAGUUAAAUAUC